RNAcentral lists this long non-coding RNA (2324 nucleotides) under Sus scrofa (pig). RNAcentral describes it as "lncRNA (ENSSSCG00055008313.1)". The record is from RNAcentral. Lineage: Eukaryota; Metazoa; Chordata; Mammalia; Artiodactyla; Suidae.
UUUUUUUUUUUUUUUUUUUUUUUGAGUCUCAAUCGUGUGGACAUCACUGGGAAUGGAGGGAAAUAACUGACUGUAUGAUCGUUGCUUUUUAAGUUUCAAACUGACAUUCCAGGCGGGCUGUUGCCUAAGUGAGCAUCUGUCUUCAGAAUUUCACAGUGGGUUCCUGGGAAGGUGGAAGCCUCUCCCUGAUGGGUGAAGUGAGGAGCAGGAGGGGACCGACACGACAGAGGUGUGCAGCCUCCAGCAUCUCCUCCUUUGUGAACUGGAUCCUCCCCAAGGAGACUACGAGAUGAAAACUUCGGAGCCCGGGAGUGAGUGGCCAGCAGGUUGCAGACGUCAGGUGAUGGCCACCAGCCAGCAUGGAACACGCCCCCACAAGACACACAGCAGAGGUGCCACCUGGACCUCCCACCCUGUCAUCUCAAUGCCUUGGACCCCUGGCCAGGAUAUGUGGGGAUGGCACCCACCUGGGCACCCAGCUACUCAUCUGCUGUCUCACCAAUGAGGAGAAUGAAGAACACAGCUCUAUAUGAUGGAUCUGUGAAGUGUUCCUUGAAUAUCUCUGCCCAGAGUGCAACAAUGAGGCCGCUAAUUGAACAAUUCCAACAACCCCGUGGCAUCGUUGUGUCUCCAUCUUCAUUGAAUCGCUUCAUGAUAUCGGCUGUGGUGUGGACCCUGGCGGCACUGGGUCCUGCUUUUUCGUCUCUGAUCUCAUGGUUCUGGAUGUCCUCGGACGCCAGUGUUGCAUAGAAACAGAACUUUGAAGCCUGGAGGCCAUCUGGUGAUCUCUGUGUGCCUCCCUUGACAAAGGUGGAAAGCUCUAGAGGCAUCCAGCAGUGAGAGGGCCAGACACUUAGGGGACCGGCACCUCCUCUCCAGGGUCCUCUCCCACGUUAACUGCCUCUCACUAAGCAGCACCUCGGUCCUACUCCCAGCACUGCCUUGAUCACAAGAUCAUGCACAUGAUCACACCAUCUGCACAGGAGUGAACAGUGUCCCUUUAAAUCCAUGUUUACCCGGAGUCUCAGAAUGUGACCUGGUUUAGUAAUAGGGUCUUUGCAGAUGUAACUAGCUAAGGGGAAGUCAUACUGAGUGGGGGUGCCCUUGCGCAAUGAUUGAUGUCUUCAUGAGAAGAGGAAACAGACCCAGGGGGACACACACACACAUGCACACGGCCACGUGAAGACAGAAGCAGAGGUUGGAUGCAGCCACAAGCCAAGCACUACUGACCACAACCAGAAGCUAGAAGAGGCAGAGCAGGAGGCUCCCCUUGGAGCUUCAGAGAGGGCAUGGCCUUGCCAACACCUUGUUUCAGCUCCCAGAAAUAAGCUGAAAGUAAAUUUCUAUUGUAUUACUCAGUUUUUGGUUACUUGUGCAGCAGUGUUAGGAAACAAUUCAUAUAUUCACGUGCUGCCAGCUUGUUUCAUGGAUGCUUCUUCCUUACUGGUCUCCUUUCUUUUUAUAGCCACACCCACAGCAUAUGGAGGUUCCCAGGAGAAUUGGAGGAGCCACAGCUACAGCAAUGCAGGAUCCAAGCUGCCUCUGCGACCUACACCGCAGUUCAUGGCAACGUCAGAUCCUUAACCUUCUGAGUGAGGCCAGGGAUCAAAUCCACAUCUUCACCAACGCUAUGUCAGGUUCUUAACUUGCUGAGCCACAACAGGAACUCCUACUUUUCUCCUUUAAAUCUCCUUCUAAACCUCUCCCAGCUGCCCGGAGUGGACAUCGUUGGCCAGAAGACUCUCAGAAUCUCCCCUAGUGACCAAGCUGAAGUCCAUUUACUGAUAGCUGAAGAUGAGUGUCAAAUCCAUGUCUGUUCUGCAUAUGAAAUUCUUCUCUUAGUCAUGUCCCAACUGGGUGUUUCUUGGACCCUGCUGGAUAUGGUAAUUGGCACAAUGGGGGCAGGUGGUGUACGCUUGAGUUUAUUUUGAAAGUCAUAGAUUAAUUUUAAUGAGAUUUGAAAAAAAGUGAAAGUCCCACAUUAGAUCCACCAUUUCAUAGACAGUGUUGUUUAGGACAAAGCUAACUAAAAAAAGACUUAAAGUUGAUCCGAAGAAAAUUAUUACAUAAAUGUGGCAUGUGAUUUGCCAAGUGUGAGCAGUUCCAGGGUGGAAAGAAUAGUGUGCUUUUGCAGUCUGACAGUUUCGAGUUCAAAUUCUUUUUCCUACCAGUGCUGGGACUCAGUGACAAUUGAUGAAUCUCUGAACCUCAGCUUUCUCUUCUGUGUAAUGGGAACACAAGGCCUAAACUGGAGGCUUUGCUCUGAAAGACUAGGACAAAGGAUGGCUGAGAAUGUGCUUGGCACAUGGGAUGCUCAGAAAAUG